RNAcentral lists this ribosomal RNA (404 nucleotides) under uncultured bacterium. RNAcentral describes it as "bacterial SSU rRNA". It matches the Rfam family "Bacterial small subunit ribosomal RNA", at positions 355 to 776 of the family's 1533-position model. The record is from RNAcentral.
UGGGGAAUAUUGCACAAUGGGGGAAACCCUGAUGCAGCGACGCCGCGUGAAGGAAGAAGUAUCUCGGUUUGUAAACUUCUAUCAGCAGGGAAGAUAAUGACGGUACCUGACUAAGAAGACCCUGCUAACUAGGUGCCAGCAGCCGCGGUAAUACGUAGGGGGCAAGCGUUAUCCGGAUUUACUGGGUGUAAAGGGAGCGGAGACGGAGCAGCAAGUCUGAUGUGAAAGGCAUGGGCUCAACCUGUGGACUGCAUUGGAAACUGUUGGUCUUGAGUACCGGAGGGGUAAGCGGAAUUCCUAGUGUAGCGGUGAAAUGCGUAGAUAUUAGGAGGAACACCAGUGGCGAAGGCGGCUUACUGGACGGUAACUGACGUUGAGGCUCGAAAGCGUGGGGAGCAAACAGG